RNAcentral lists this non-coding RNA (26 nucleotides) under Homo sapiens (human). Lineage: Eukaryota; Metazoa; Chordata; Mammalia; Primates; Hominidae. The record is from RNAcentral.
GAAGGGAACUGAGCCUGGUGGCCACU